Long non-coding RNA from Ornithorhynchus anatinus (platypus), 8593 nucleotides. RefSeq lists it as uncharacterized. The record is from RefSeq and is a predicted model, not a curated record. NCBI's taxonomy places the organism in Eukaryota, Metazoa, Chordata, Mammalia, Monotremata, Ornithorhynchidae. The transcript is spliced from 6 exons.
AACUGGCGGCCUUUCUAAAGUUAAGCAAGUCACGUCAGGCUAUCGGGGAAGCUAAGGUCAACCUCGACUCUCUAGAGAACCAGCCUGGCUCCAAGGGACCUCAGACACCGUAAGUUUACGGGAGCAGCGUAGGCCUGUCUCCUGACUGCUGGGGUGUUCCUGAGGGACUCUAAAGGCGAAGUUUGGAAGCUGGGCCGUGGGCUGAGCUGCCGGGAUGCCUAAUUUCCAGGUCCACCGUGCCGGCCUUCUGGUUCAAGUGGGCGAAGAUUUCUGCCUAUAGAGACACUGGAUCUCCAGAUAUUAAGAAUAACGAUAAAGGGAAAGCUGUGAGGCGAAGCAACAGGGUGCCAAUCUAGAAGCUGGAGAACCCGGGUUUGAGUCCAACCUGUGCUGUUAGCCUCCCGUUUAACCAUGGACGAGAAAACUGAGACCCUGAGAAGUUAAGUAGCCAGUCCAAGAUUGCAGAGAAAAUCACUGAUGAAGCAGGGUCUGAAAUGCCGUAAAGGCCUAUAAAAAUGAGCAGAAUUUUGCUGCGCAAAAUCAGCUGACCGCCAUCUGUUUUGGGAAUCUGACAGUGGAGUGAGAAUGGGACCCCACCAACCUAGGAUCCUGCUGGCAUGGCUGGCCUUGUCCGGGUAAUGCCGAUGCAUGGACAGAGAACACCACCCUGUCACUGGCUGAGAUGAUCGCCCGGCAAGCUCACCCCAAUAACAUCACCAACAGCACAGCCUGCUGGGUCUGCCAGCACCUUCCACAUCACUAUGGGCAGGAUGCCAGCUUCUGGCCCUUCUCCUCACGUUGGAGGAGUGGACAACGGGGUGGAGGAUUGUUACGGUAUCUCAUCAGCCUUAAUGGGGGCUGCAUGGUGGGAUUUGGAGGUUACAUCCCCACCAGACAGUAUCCUUUGUGAUCACAUCAUGAGGGAUAAUCAUUCACUGGGACAGUACGAUCGGUGCUGGUUCACACUCACCCUGAGUGACAGGCAGCAUAUGUCCAAAUGUUGUGGUACCUCCCAUAACACCACGUUGCCGGGAGUAGGGGAGAUUGUCAGAGCCCGAGAGACUUUUGAAACCUACCAGGGUGACUUCACUAUGUGUGUGCAAAUUGAUGGGAUGAUUUCAAACGUGACCAACUGUGCCUUAGGGACUUUCAACCAACAGCCUAGUCCAAGCCAGCUGUUUCGGGGUGCUGACCUCAGUACCAUCAUGGUUAAGGAUGUCUUCACAACUUCCUUCUCUGGAGAGAAGUAGGAGCAGGAAUGGGCCCUACCUCCCUACCUAUUCCUGGUGUGUGGGACUUUGGUGUACUCUUUCCUCCCGCUUAAUGCAGCAGACAUAUACGCACUUGCCCACCUGGUUCCCUCCACCCAUACUAGCCUCACUCUGUACUGGCCAUUCCCCCAGAAUUUGGAGCUUCAUAACGACACCCUCCAAAGCCACAGUUGCUGGUGUCCUCAGGGUCCUUUUCCUGGGGAUCAUCUCUAUUUAUUGGACAGAGUGAAUUACACGUGCCCUGUGAAACCUUACAGACAACCUGAUGCAGGUGGUCAGUGUGAGCAAGGAUGUGGUCACCACCCUCCAAGAGGAAGUGUGGGGACUGUCGUGGGUGACCCUUCUUAAUACGCAUGUCUUGGAAAUAUUCCUGGCUAGCCGGGAAGAUGUGUGUGUGUGUUCUCCUCAACCAAUCAUAUGGCAUAUACAUGGACGAAAAUGAGAGGGUGACCCAGGACGCUGAUUAACUUAGUCAGAUAAUGCUCUCUCUCCAUCACACUGUCAUCCAUCAUCCGGGAAUGGGUUCAUCUGGGAAUCGGCAUGGCGAGAGAGAGAGAGAGAGAGAGAGAGAGAGAGAGAGAGAGAUCAGGGACACAAAGGCUCAGCUUUUUACAAAAUUUAUUCUGUGAGGCAAGUUGAAUUAUUUGAUUAUUUUGGUCACAGUGAUUUGAAUUAUUUGAUUAUUUUGGAUGUGGUGAAAUGAACCUCUCCUAUGGGAGGAGUAUGAUUAUUUAAUGAUAUUAGAACUUCCCUAUUGUGAGGAAUAUACUUAUGUGUUACUCGCAUGUGGCAAAAAGCUCAGGUCCCACCAAGGAGGAAUUCACUUAUGUUUUGUUCGCAAGUGGUGAGGUGGCUACCUCCCACCAAUGAGCACUUCCCACUUGAGCACUUCCCACUUGGGAGGAAUCCAUUUAUGCUUUACACACCUGUGGCAAAGCACUUGGCUUUUGGCCCCACGAGAGUUCAGCAGGACAUUCACCCAUCCCACAGCUCUUCCCUCAGUGCAGACAGAGCGGGCAUCCCAUGCUCUGGGCAGAGGUGACCCGCAACCGGCUGCUACCAAUCUCGAUCCGUUGCACAGAAGGUUAGAGGCCGCAAGGCAUUUAUUACCUAUGCUCCUAGGCCAUUCCAGCUUCCCACCUCAGUUUAUUCAAUCUCAGCCUUCCCCCCUCCUCCAUACCUAAUUGGUUUUGGCAUGGGAGGAGAGUCAACUUUUGUAUACCUGGAUUGGGCUGUCAAUCUAGAAGUUUUAGUUGUGGGAGUGGUAUCCCACCUGCACUUCCAAGUUCUGCCUUGCUGGCUUGGACAAUCACGAGAUAGCAUUUGACCUUGAGUUGAGAGGUACUCCGGGUUCACCUUGGGACACACAAGAGGAAUUGAGUUUGGACCUCCUCUCCAGAAAUGCCUGGUGGCUCCUGGGCCUGCCAAAGUGGGCCCAAUCAUUUGUUCAUCUUCUUUUUAUGUUUAUUCUGCUAGUUGCUUUGCUUGUCUGCAUGUGGAAGCUGCUUAAAUGCCUUUGGAAUGCAGGUGAACCUGCUCUAAGAGUAACAGUGACGGAGCCAAACCCACUCCUACCCUCCGUCUCCAGACCUAACCAUUGAUGGAGCUGUGGGCAGUGGUGUAUCCACCAGGUGGCAUGUCCCAUGAGAACCAGUCGACCCCACUUUGGCUGUAUUGUUAUUUCAGGGCAAGUUAAAGAAAUGCAGAAGCUCAAUGUACAGGAGAGUAGGGAAUACCAGAAUGUCUGUCAAUGCCACGCCCACGGUCUUUUAUCUGGGAAUGACAGUUGGGGCAGCUGGUGUGAUGGCCUGGCUAAGGUGUCAGGGCAGCUGGUGCGAUGACCCCGUGGAGUUGUCAGGACAGCAGGGUCAGUGGCCCAGUGGAGGUGUUGGGGUGGGUGGUGGUGGUGCCCCAGCAGAGGUGUCAGUGUGGCCGUCAUGGUAGAUCAGCAGGGGUGUCCAUUUCAAGUUCUUAGUACAGUGCUCUUCACGCAGUAAGCACUCAAUAAAUACUAUUGAAUGAAUGAAAGUGUCGGGGCAGGUGGUGCUGGUGGCCCGGUGGGGUGAGUCAGGGCAGUGGCAGUGAUAAGCUAGAGGACGUCCUGGGGUGAGUGGUGCUUGUUACUUAGCAGAGGUCUUGGAGUGCCUGGUAUGGUGGCUGGUGGAUGUAUGAGAGUGGCAGGUGUGGUGGCCCAGUGGAGGUCCAGGGGUAACAUAGAUGGCAGCAGUGGCCUGGCAUAGGUGUCAGGUCGGGUGGCCCAUCGGAGGUAGGUGUUAGGAAGUGAUAGGGUGGGUGGUAGGUGGCUUGGCAGAUGUGUUGGGACCAGAGAACCCAGUAGCCCAUUGGAGGUGUCAGGACAGGUAUUAGGAGGCCCGGCUGAGGUGUUGACGUGGGUGACAGUGAUGGUCUGGCAGAGGUGUCGGGAUGGGGGGCACCAGUGACCCAGCAGAUGUGUCAUGACAGGUGGACCCGGUGACCCAGUGAAGGUGUUGGGGCAGGUGGUGGCAGUGGCAGAGAGGAGGUAUUGGGUCCGCUGGUCUGAUGGCCCAGUGGAGUUGUCAAACUGGGUGGUUGUGGUGGACCAGCACAGGUGUCAGGGAGGGUGGCACCCCUGACUCAAUGGUGGUGUCAGGGGGCUGGGGUGGUGGCCCGUUGGAAGUGUCAGGGUGGCUAGUGCCAGAGGCCCAGCAGAGUUGUUGGAGGUGGUGCAGUGGAGUUGUUGGGGAGCCUGCUGUCAAUGCCCUGUGGAGGUGUCAGAAUGGGUGUCGGCCUUGGCCCGGUGGAGGCAUUGGGGCAACUGGUUCAGUGACUUUCGCUUUGUCCCGGAGGAGGUAUCAGGGAGGGUGGCAAGAUGACCUGCCAACUGAUGGUGCUGUUGGGGGUGGGUGGCCUGUUGACUCUGCGGCACCCAGAAGAAGGUGUCAGGGACUGGUGACUGUGCCAGAGGCCCAGAGGAAGCGUCAGAGAGGUUAGCAUGAUGACUGUGCCAGGGCCUGGUAGUGGUCUUAGGCCAGUCAGCUCAGUCUCUCCCCCACAAGAUCAGCUGUGGUGAUCAGUGGGCAGUGUAGUCACCAGAUCCAGGGACAGGCUCUUCCUGGCCCAGUUUGGUCCUGUAGGAUGGAUCAGAGGAGGCUUGGAGAUGUCUCUGGGGCAGUGUGGCUCUUGUUGCUGGUGACGAGGGAGCCCAUCCUCCUCCCUCUCCUUGAUGUUCUCCAUGCUGUGGGGCCGCUUUCUGGACUGGGAAAGGCUCUGUAGCGUUGAUUUCACCUUAUGACCUGAGUCACAAAGGAGCUCCUGCAUCUAGGCACUGUCAUUAUCUCCGGCCCAAACUGGCCCUUUUUGCGGUUCUUGAACUUGUAACAAGGGGUCCUAUCCCCCUCCCCCUUCUCAAUGUUCACCCUGCUGUGGUGCCACUUUGUGGGUCGGAGAGGGGCGGGUGACAACUCCCUGGCCUGGGAAGGAUGAGCCAACAGUCUAAAACAGCGAUACGCCCCUACGAGUGUGAAUGUCUCACCGUGCCACUGGAGUCCUGGCUCCCAUCUCUGCUGGUGGCCCAGGAAAGGUGUUAUCUUAGGGGGUGGGGUGCCCAGGCAGAUAUGUUGGGAAAGGUGGGCCUGGCAGCCCAGUGGAGGUGGCAAUAUGGCUGGUGCCGGUGGCCUGGAAGAUGUGUCUGGACAGGUUGUUGCCGUGACACAGCUGUGUCAAGAAGGUAGAUUUGACAGCCCGGUGUAUGUGUUGGAGAGGGUGACUGUAAUGGGCCAGCGGAGUUGUUGAGAAGGGUCAUGGUGGUGGCCUAGUGGAGGUUUUGGGGAGGCUAGUGUGGUGGCCUGCUGGAGUUGUCACAACAGGUGAUGGCGGUAGUCUGGUGAAAGCCAGGAUGGGGGCCCCGGGUGGCCCGUCAGCAGGAUCGGGCGGCUGGUGCUGGUGGCCCAGCAAAGUUGACUGGGUGGAUGGCAGUGUUGGAAGAGUGUAAGUUUAGGGUGGAUGGUGCCAGUGAAUUGGCAGAGGUUUCAAGGCUGCCGACGUGGUGGCCCGGCAGAGGUGUCAGGACAGCUAGCCACUAUGGCCUGGCAGUGAUAUCAGGGUGGUUGGUGGCAGUGGCCCAGUGGAGGUGUCGGUGCAAGUGGCACCACUGGCCCAUCGGUGGGGUCAGGGGUGCUGGGGUGAUGGGCGGUGGGGGUGGGGAGUGGGUGGUGCCAGUGACCCAGGAGAGUUGUAGAAGAAGCUGGUGUAGUGGCCCUGCAGAGGCAUAAGAAUGGGUGGUGAUAUUGGCCCGGCGGAGGUGUCUUGCUCCCAGUGGCCCAAGGGAGGUAUUAGAGACGGUGACGGUGGCUGAACGUGCCCUACAUUGGUGGUGUCAGGGAAGAAUGGCACGGUGACUGGGCCAGUAGCCCAGAGGAGGUGUUGGUGAGGUUGACAUGGUGACCGUGCUGGUGGCCCAGUGGUGGUCUCAGGCUGGUCAGUUUGGUCUCUCCCCAAUAUUCAGAAGUGGCAAUCAAUGGACAAGGUAGUGUCCAGAUCUAGGGACAGGUCCUCCUUCCUGCGCCCCUGUUUGGUCCAGUGGGAUGGAUCAGAGGAGGGUCGACGAUGUCCCUCUAGGGCAGCGUGGAUCUUGGUGCUGGUGAUGAGGUAGCCACUGUGGCUGUGAACUGCUGCUCCCGCUGGCUUGACCUGAUGUCGGGCAGGACGCUCCAGUUGGCAUCUCCUGAACUUUUUGCAUGGCAGCCCAUCCUUUUCCUCCUGGUUGAUAUUCAGUGUGCGGUGAGGCCUCUUCCUGAUUCGGGGAGAGGCGGAUGGCAUUAGAACGGCCAAGGCCUGGGUAGGCUGGAUCACCCGAGGGGCUCUAUAACAGUGAUAUCCCCUUAUGACUCAAAUAACAAAUGAGCUCCUAUGUCCAUGCAGUCAUUCUUGCUGGCCCAAGCCGGCCCAUUUUGCAGCUCUUAAAUUUUGGGCAUGGCAGCCCGACCUCAUCUCCCUUCUUGACUUUCACCCUUCCAUGGAACCGCUUCCCAAUUUGGGAAGGGGUGGGUGGCAGCGCCUUGUCCUGGGAAGGCUGCACCAGUGGAGGGUCUCCAAAGCACCAAUAGGCCCCUUCGAGUGUGUAUGUCUCCCCGUGUCACUGGAGACCAGGCUCCCUUCUCUGCUGGUGGUCCAGCAGAGAUUUCAACGUGGAAGGUGAGGUGGUCUGGCAGAUAUGUCGGAACAGGUGACCCUGGUAGCUCAGCAGAGGUGUCAAGGGGGCUGGUGUGGCGGCCCAGCAUAAGUUUUGGGGUGGGUGGUGCCGGUGUCCCAGAGGUGUUGUCGGGGCAGGGCACAGAGGUGGCUCAGUGGAAAUGUUAGGCGGUUGGCCCUCGUGCCCAUCCAAGAUGUCGGGACAGCUGGUCCCAGAAACCUGGAGGAAGUGUUAGGCAGGUGGGGUGGUGUCCCAUUGGAGGUGUCAGGAAGGGAGGCUCCAGUAUCUGAGUGGAGGUGUCUGCCAUCCACUGGUGGUGUUGGGGGAGGGUGGCAUGGAAACUCUGCCGGCACCCAGGAGUAGGUUUUUGGGAGAGUGGCAUACUGACUGUUUUGAAAACCCAGAGGAGAUGUCGGGGAGUUGACAUGAUGACCGUGCUGGUGGCCCAGAGGUGGUCUCAGUCCAGCUAGCAUGGUCUCUGCCCCACGGUCAGCCGUGGAGAUCAGUGGGCAGUGUAGUCACCAGAUCCAGGGGCAGGCUCUCCUUCCUGUCCCAGUUUGGUCCUGCGGGAUGCAUCGGAGUAGGUUCGGAGAUGCCUCUACAGGGUAGUGUGGCUCUUGGUUCUGGUGAUGAGGGAGCCACUGCUGCUGGGGGUAGCUGCUCCCAUUGGCCCGACCUGACGUCGGACAAGGCCCUCCAUUUGGCAGCUCCUGAACUCUUUUCAUGGUGGCCCAUCCUCUUCCUUCCAGGUGAUAUUCACUAUUCUGUGAGACUUCUACCUGAUUUGGGGAUGGGUGGGUGGCACUGGAACUGGCACUGCCAUGGCCCAGGGGUGCCAGACCAGCCGAGAGGCUCUGUAACAGUCAUAUCCCCUUAUGACCUGGGUCACAAAAGGGCUUCUGUGUCCAUUUGCUGUCAUUCUCACCGGCCCAUGCUGGACUUUUUUGCAGUUCUUGAACUUUUUGGAAGGCGGCCCACCCUCUUCCCUCCCCUUGAUUUCACCAUGCUGUGGAGCCGCUUCCUGGGUCGGGGAGAGGUGGAUGGCACUGACACUGGCACUGCCACUGCCAUGGACUCUGGGGGCAGGACCACCCGAGGGUUUCUAUAGCAGCGAUAUCCCCAUAUGGCCCGGGUGACAUAAGAGCACCUGCAUCUGUGCGGGGUCAUUAUCACCGGCCCGAGCUGGCACUUUUUGUGGCUCUUGAACUUUUAACAAUAGGGCCCAUCCUCCUCUGCGGGUUGGAGAGGAAAGGGUGGCAGGAUCCUGGCCUGGGAAGGAUGAGCCAGUGGAAUGUCUCUAAAGCAGUGAUACACCCCUACGAGUGUGAUUGUCUCACCGUGCCACUGGAGUCCUGGCUCCUCUCUCCGCUAGUGGCCCAGCAGAGGUGUCAGCAAGGGAGGUGUGGUGGCCUGGUGAAUGUGUUGGGAAGGUGGCCUUGGUGGCCCAGGGGAGGUGUCAGAGCAGCUGGUGCCAACAUCCUGGCAGAUGAGGUGGGUUGUUGCUGUGGCACAGCUGAGGUGUCAGGAAGGCUGAAUUGCCAGCCUGGUAUGUGUGUUGGAGCGGGUGGCUGCGGUGACCCAGAGGAGGUGUCGGGGAAGCUGUCAUGAUGACCCUGCUGGCGGCCCAGUGGUAGCCGGCCAGUGUGGUCUCUCCCUAAUAUUUAACAAGGGGGAUGAUGGGCAGCGUAGUUUCCAGAUCUAGGGUCAGGCCUUCCUUCCUACCUCUGGGACAGUGGAAUGGAUCAGAGGAGGGUCGACGAUGUCACCCUGGGACAGCGUGGAUCUUGGUGCUGGUGAUGAGGGAGCCACCGUGGCUGUGGACUGCCACUCCCGCUGGCCUGACCCGAUGUCGGGCAGGACGCUCCAUUUGGCAGCUCUUGAACUUUUUGCAUGGUGGCCCAUCGUUUACCCCCCGUUGACGAGGGGAGGUUGGCACUAGCACUGCUAGGCCUGGGUGGGCUGGACCACCUGAAGGGCUCUGUAAUAGAGAUAUUCCCUUAUGACCCAGGUAACAGAGGACCUCCUGUGUCCACCCACAGUCUUUCUCGCCAGCCCAAGCCGGCACUCUUUAUGGCUCUCAAACUUUAUGCAUGGCAGACCAUCCUCCUCCCUGUUCUCGACUUUCACUAUGCUGUGGAGCCAAUUCCCA